Long non-coding RNA from Ictalurus punctatus (channel catfish), 1492 nucleotides. NCBI's taxonomy places the organism in Eukaryota, Metazoa, Chordata, Actinopteri, Siluriformes, Ictaluridae. The record is from Ensembl.
UCCACUGAUUUUGAAAGAAAGCCCUCUCUGACGCGUUCUCAUGCUGUGCGAUUUCAAGGGGCGAGAGAAGGAGUGAGGUGGAAAAAGGGAGAGGACAGAUGGAAUAGAAGAUCACUUUCUAAAACUUAAAAACUGUCAGUUCUUCUAAACAUCACCUGACGAUAUCUGUGAUGUUGAUUGUCUUUUGAUUUGUAACGGUCUAUUGCACUUUUUUCUGUUAGAAGGUAUUUAGUUCUAUGCAUACACUCGGCCUGGUGUAUUACAGUGUGUGGUCCUACUUUCAGCAGUUAGACUCUUAGCUUAUGUUCUGCGUGGAAAACUGUGUGUUAUGAACAAAACUGCUGUUUUGUUCAAAGCACUGCAUUGUACUUAAAGCACUGUGUACAAGGCAACAGACAAGGUGUAUUUCUCAACAUCAUAUAUACUGUAGAUGUGGGAGGUUAGCACAAAAAUGGCUUGAGAAAUGAGUACUGAGGUUGAUCACAAACCAAGAACUGCGCCUCAGUGGUCAAAUAUUGGCAGCCAUUUUUGUGGUUUUGUCUGCCUCCAACAAAUCAGGUGUAAAUUGUUUUACUAGGAGCAGUAAAGCCAGUUUUGCCAGGUGCCAACUGGGAUACAUUUGAGCUAACUGGGUAGGCUUGUGUGAAAACCUGAUGGUGUUCUAGGUCACAAUUAUGCAGAUAUCUAGAAAAUUCUAGAAAAGGGUUAACAAACUUUCAAGCACCACUGUAUAUACUUAAACAAGGGCUCUCUUUUGAACUGCCUCAGUAGACUAGGAAUAAUCUGUGUAUAUGCAAAUGUGUGAUGAUAACUCAAAUCCUGCUUGACUGCCCAUUUUUAGUGGAUAGGAGCCUUAAAUGCAGCUCUCGUAUAUCAAACAGAUCACCAACCAUAGGCUUAUACCAUCACUAUAUGGAAGACUUAGAUUAUUGAUGUUGUAGAAAAUGUAAGUAAGUACAGUAUUAAUAAUAAAUCAGUUGACAAGGUUCCAAAAUGUAUAGAUAUUUAACAUCCCUGAGCUGCUGCAGUUGGAAGAACAUCUUUGCCAGCUAGAAAGUUGACCAAAUUGAUCAAUAAACAUUUCCAUCUAUCUUGUAACGAUAAACUGUUUCCGUCUAUCACCAAUUACCAGCGGACAAAGAUGGCCUACCAGUUUGACCAGCUCAGCCUUUGUUUUGUCUUGGUAGCUUGAAAAACUAGAUUUUUCAACAGGGAGUUCAAGUCUGGUUUGGUCACAUGGAUGAGUCUGCAGCUCAUCUAAAACUGCAGUUACUUUCUAGGUAAUGUUCACAGAUCGCUUUCCAUUGACAUUCCACACAUGCUACACCUAUGGGAGCAUCCACUUUGUGGAUGAACUGACAGACAACAUCAAAGCCAUGUUCUGGAAAUAAAAGCAAAUUGUAUUUCUCAAAGAGAAACUGAUCAACAAAUUUCAACAAAAUCAAGCAUGUGGAAAAAAUAUGUAACAUGUAUGACGUUUAUUAGACUAUCG